This 465-nucleotide ribosomal RNA is filed under the name uncultured bacterium. Its description in RNAcentral is "bacterial SSU rRNA". It matches the Rfam family "Bacterial small subunit ribosomal RNA", at positions 917 to 1382 of the family's 1533-position model. The record is from RNAcentral.
GGGCCCGCACAAGCGGUGGAUGAUGUGGUUUAAUUCGAUGCAACGCGAAAAACCUUACCUACCCUUGACAUGUGCGGAAUCCUCCAGAGAUGGAGGAGUGCCCGAAAGGGAACCGCAACACAGGUGCUGCAUGGCUGUCGUCAGCUCGUGUCGUGAGAUGUUGGGUUAAGUCCCGCAACGAGCGCAACCCUUGCCAUUAGUUGCUACAUUCAGUUGAGCACUCUAAUGGGACUGCCGGUGACAAACCGGAGGAAGGUGGGGAUGACGUCAAGUCCUCAUGGCCCUUAUGGGUAGGGCUACACACGUCAUACAAUGGCGCGUACAGAGGGUUGCCAACCCGCGAGGGGGAGCCAAUCCCAGAAAGCGCGUCGUAGUCCGGAUUGAAGUCUGCAACUCGACUUCAUGAAGUCGGAAUCGCUAGUAAUCGCGGAUCAGCAUGUCGCGGUGAAUACGUUCCCGGGCCUU